This is a small nuclear RNA of Suncus etruscus (white-toothed pygmy shrew), 107 nucleotides long. Lineage: Eukaryota; Metazoa; Chordata; Mammalia; Eulipotyphla; Soricidae. The record is from RefSeq and is a predicted model, not a curated record.
GUGCUCUCUUUGGCAGCACAUAUAUUAAAAUUGGAAUGAUACAGAGAAGAUUAGCAUGGCCUCUGAGCAAGGAUAGCACACAAAUUCGUGAAACGUUCCAUAGUUUU